Molecule: ribosomal RNA, 253 nt
Filed under: uncultured bacterium
Lineage: Bacteria
Description: partial 16S ribosomal RNA
Rfam family: Bacterial small subunit ribosomal RNA
Source: RNAcentral
UACGUAGGCAGCGAGCGUUGUUCGGAGUUACUGGGCGUAAAGGGUGUGUAGGCGGUCCUCUAAGUUUGGUGUGAAAUCUCCCGGCUCAACCGGGAGGGUGCGCCGAAAACUGGGGGACUAGAGUGCGGGAUGGGAGAGUAGAAUUCCUGGUGUAGCGGUGAAAUGCGUAGAUAUCGUUUGGAACGCCAACGGUGAAAACAGACAGCUGGGAGUGUGCUGACGCUGAGACACGAAAGCCAGGGGAGCGAACGGG